Molecule: ribosomal RNA, 2902 nt
Filed under: Escherichia coli TOP2522-1
Lineage: Bacteria; Pseudomonadati; Pseudomonadota; Gammaproteobacteria; Enterobacterales; Enterobacteriaceae
Description: bacterial LSU rRNA
Rfam family: Bacterial large subunit ribosomal RNA
Source: RNAcentral
UUAAGCGACUAAGCGUACACGGUGGAUGCCCUGGCAGUCAGAGGCGAUGAAGGACGUGCUAAUCUGCGAUAAGCGUCGGUAAGGUGAUAUGAACCGUUAUAACCGGCGAUUUCCGAAUGGGGAAACCCAGUGUGAUUCGUCACACUAUCAUUAACUGAAUCCAUAGGUUAAUGAGGCGAACCGGGGGAACUGAAACAUCUAAGUACCCCGAGGAAAAGAAAUCAACCGAGAUUCCCCCAGUAGCGGCGAGCGAACGGGGAGGAGCCCAGAGCCUGAAUCAGUGUGUGUGUUAGUGGAAGCGUCUGGAAAGGCGCGCGAUACAGGGUGACAGCCCCGUACACAAAAAUACACAUAUUGUGAGCUCGAUGAGUAGGGCGGGACACGUGGUAUCCUGUCUGAAUAUGGGGGGACCAUCCUCCAAGGCUAAAUACUCCUGACUGACCGAUAGUGAACCAGUACCGUGAGGGAAAGGCGAAAAGAACCCCGGCGAGGGGAGUGAAAAAGAACCUGAAACCGUGUACGUACAAGCAGUGGGAGCACGCUUAGGCGUGUGACUGCGUACCUUUUGUAUAAUGGGUCAGCGACUUAUAUUCUGUAGCAAGGUUAACCGAAUAGGGGAGCCGAAGGGAAACCGAGUCUUAACUGGGCGUUAAGUUGCAGGGUAUAGACCCGAAACCCGGUGAUCUAGCCAUGGGCAGGUUGAAGGUUGGGUAACACUAACUGGAGGACCGAACCGACUAAUGUUGAAAAAUUAGCGGAUGACUUGUGGCUGGGGGUGAAAGGCCAAUCAAACCGGGAGAUAGCUGGUUCUCCCCGAAAGCUAUUUAGGUAGCGCCUCGUGAAUUCAUCUCCGGGGGUAGAGCACUGUUUCGGCAAGGGGGUCAUCCCGACUUACCAACCCGAUGCAAACUGCGAAUACCGGAGAAUGUUAUCACGGGAGACACACGGCGGGUGCUAACGUCCGUCGUGAAGAGGGAAACAACCCAGACCGCCAGCUAAGGUCCCAAAGUCAUGGUUAAGUGGGAAACGAUGUGGGAAGGCCCAGACAGCCAGGAUGUUGGCUUAGAAGCAGCCAUCAUUUAAAGAAAGCGUAAUAGCUCACUGGUCGAGUCGGCCUGCGCGGAAGAUGUAACGGGGCUAAACCAUGCACCGAAGCUGCGGCAGCGACGCUUAUGCGUUGUUGGGUAGGGGAGCGUUCUGUAAGCCUGUGAAGGUGUGCUGUGAGGCAUGCUGGAGGUAUCAGAAGUGCGAAUGCUGACAUAAGUAACGAUAAAGCGGGUGAAAAGCCCGCUCGCCGGAAGACCAAGGGUUCCUGUCCAACGUUAAUCGGGGCAGGGUGAGUCGACCCCUAAGGCGAGGCCGAAAGGCGUAGUCGAUGGGAAACAGGUUAAUAUUCCUGUACUUGGUGUUACUGCGAAGGGGGGACGGAGAAGGCUAUGUUGGCCGGGCGACGGUUGUCCCGGUUUAAGCGUGUAGGCUGGUUUUCCAGGCAAAUCCGGAAAAUCAAGGCUGAGGCGUGAUGACGAGGCACUACGGUGCUGAAGCAACAAAUGCCCUGCUUCCAGGAAAAGCCUCUAAGCAUCAGGUAACAUCAAAUCGUACCCCAAACCGACACAGGUGGUCAGGUAGAGAAUACCAAGGCGCUUGAGAGAACUCGGGUGAAGGAACUAGGCAAAAUGGUGCCGUAACUUCGGGAGAAGGCACGCUGAUAUGUAGGUGAAGUCCCUUGCGGAUGGAGCUGAAAUCAGUCGAAGAUACCAGCUGGCUGCAACUGUUUAUUAAAAACACAGCACUGUGCAAACACGAAAGUGGACGUAUACGGUGUGACGCCUGCCCGGUGCCGGAAGGUUAAUUGAUGGGGUCAGCGCAAGCGAAGCUCUUGAUCGAAGCCCCGGUAAACGGCGGCCGUAACUAUAACGGUCCUAAGGUAGCGAAAUUCCUUGUCGGGUAAGUUCCGACCUGCACGAAUGGCGUAAUGAUGGCCAGGCUGUCUCCACCCGAGACUCAGUGAAAUUGAACUCGCUGUGAAGAUGCAGUGUACCCGCGGCAAGACGGAAAGACCCCGUGAACCUUUACUAUAGCUUGACACUGAACAUUGAGCCUUGAUGUGUAGGAUAGGUGGGAGGCUUGGAAGUGUGGACGCCAGUCUGCAUGGAGCCGACCUUGAAAUACCACCCUUUAAUGUUUGAUGUUCUAACGUUGACCCGUAAUCCGGGUUGCGGACAGUGUCUGGUGGGUAGUUUGACUGGGGCGGUCUCCUCCUAAAGAGUAACGGAGGAGCACGAAGGUUGGCUAAUCCUGGUCGGACAUCAGGAGGUUAGUGCAAUGGCAUAAGCCAGCUUGACUGCGAGCGUGACGGCGCGAGCAGGUGCGAAAGCAGGUCAUAGUGAUCCGGUGGUUCUGAAUGGAAGGGCCAUCGCUCAACGGAUAAAAGGUACUCCGGGGAUAACAGGCUGAUACCGCCCAAGAGUUCAUAUCGACGGCGGUGUUUGGCACCUCGAUGUCGGCUCAUCACAUCCUGGGGCUGAAGUAGGUCCCAAGGGUAUGGCUGUUCGCCAUUUAAAGUGGUACGCGAGCUGGGUUUAGAACGUCGUGAGACAGUUCGGUCCCUAUCUGCCGUGGGCGCUGGAGAACUGAGGGGGGCUGCUCCUAGUACGAGAGGACCGGAGUGGACGCAUCACUGGUGUUCGGGUUGUCAUGCCAAUGGCACUGCCCGGUAGCUAAAUGCGGAAGAGAUAAGUGCUGAAAGCAUCUAAGCACGAAACUUGCCCCGAGAUGAGUUCUCCCUGACUCCUUGAGAGUCCUGAAGGAACGUUGAAGACGACGACGUUGAUAGGCCGGGUGUGUAAGCGCAGCGAUGCGUUGAGCUAACCGGUACUAAUGAACCGUGAGGCUUAACCUU